CCCUUAGAUGUUCUGGGCCGCACGCGUGCUACACUGACCGGCGCAACAAGCUUUUUUCCUUGGCUCGACAGGCCUGGGUAAUCUUCGAACGCCGGUCGUGAUGGGGAUAGAUCCUUGCAAUUUUUGAUCUUCAACGAGGAAUUCCUAGUAAAUGCGAGUCAUCAUCUCGCGUUGAUUACGUCCCUGCCCUUUGUACACACCGCCCGUCGCUCCUACCGAUUGAAUGGUCCGGUGAAGCGUUCGGACCGUGGCCUUUGGACGGUUCGCCGUCUGUUGGCUGCGGGAAGUUCGUUAAACCUUAUCAUUUAGAGGAAGGAGAAGUCGUAACA
This 329-nucleotide ribosomal RNA is filed under the name uncultured eukaryote. RNAcentral's name for it is "partial 18S ribosomal RNA". It matches the Rfam family "Eukaryotic small subunit ribosomal RNA", at positions 1470 to 1796 of the family's 1831-position model. The record is from RNAcentral.